Molecule: ribosomal RNA, 465 nt
Filed under: Vreelandella stevensii
Lineage: Bacteria; Pseudomonadati; Pseudomonadota; Gammaproteobacteria; Oceanospirillales; Halomonadaceae
Description: partial 16S ribosomal RNA
Rfam family: Bacterial small subunit ribosomal RNA
Source: RNAcentral
CCUACGGGCGGCUGCAGUGGGGAAUAUUGGACAAUGGGGGGAACCCUGAUCCAGCCAUGCCGCGUGUGUGAAGAAGGCCCUCGGGUUGUAAAGCACUUUCAGUGAGGAAGAACGCCUGGUGGUUAAUACCCAUCAGGAAAGACAUCACUCACAGAAGAAGCACCGGCUAACUCCGUGCCAGCAGCCGCGGUAAUACGGAGGGUGCGAGCGUUAAUCGGAAUUACUGGGCGUAAAGCGCGCGUAGGUGGCUUGAUAAGCCGGUUGUGAAAGCCCCGGGCUCAACCUGGGAACGGCAUCCGGAACUGUCAAGCUAGAGUGCAGGAGAGGAAGGUAGAAUUCCCGGUGUAGCGGUGAAAUGCGUAGAGAUCGGGAGGAAUACCAGUGGCGAAGGCGGCAUUCUGGACUGACACUGACACUGAGGUGCGAAAGCGUGGGUAGCAAACAGGAUUAGAUACCCUAGUAGUC